GUGAGCCUGGGGGAAACGCUGCUCCCCGAAAGGAAAUGCAGGCCGGAUGGAUGUUGGACAGAAAAGACAUUAAAACUCCAUUCAGUGAUUUCUAUACAGAAGCUUGAGGAAAAAGGCCAAGGAAGGAGUGAAGCUUUAUAGAGAAUUCGUGCCACCGUGAUCGGUCGGGCUUUGCGUCAGUAAAUUUUGGCUGUGCCCCUGUCUCAAAGCUGGAGUGACAGAGACCCACGAAAUACAAUUUUCCUUCCAGCUAAGGCUGAUGGAAAUCUUCAUGCUGAUAAUAUCGACAGCCCUACUCCCAAAGCAGGAACCCGGGGAAACUUGGCAAGAAACACUGACUCUGGCUCCAGCUCCCAGCCUUGGCCACAGGAACCGCAGUGGAUGACCCGGGCACCUGAUCCUCCUAAUCUGAAGGCAGGGGACACACAGUCACACAAAACUGCUGUGGCUUGUGCAGCCGAGCCAAGCCUGCCUGCCAAGCCUUUUCCGAUGGCACAAACCCCAGUUUUAGAAGACUCCAGGUGGAGAAGGACUUUGGAAAAGGGCACCCGUUUUGGCCAGUGUACGAUAACAA
Camelus dromedarius (Arabian camel) is the source of this 574-nucleotide long non-coding RNA. RefSeq lists it as uncharacterized. The record is from RefSeq and is a predicted model, not a curated record. The transcript is spliced from 3 exons. Lineage: Eukaryota; Metazoa; Chordata; Mammalia; Artiodactyla; Camelidae.